UAUGAGUAGCGAAAGACGGGUGAGAAUCCCGUCCACCGAAUGCCUAAGGUUUCCUGAGGAAGGCUCGUCCGCUCAGGGUUAGUCGGGACCUAAGCCGAGGCCGAAAGGCGUAGGCGAUGGACAACAGGUUGAUAUUCCUGUACCACCUCCUCACCAUUUGAGCAAUGGGGGGACGCAGGAGGAUAGGGUAAGCGCGGUAUUGGAUAUCCGCGUCCAAGCAGUUAGGCUGGGAAAUAGGCAAAUCCGUUUCCCGUAAAGGCUGAGCUGUGAUGGCGAGCGAAAUUUAGUAGCGAAGUUCCUGAUUCCACACUGCCAAGAAAAGCCUCUAGCGAGGUGAGAGGUGCCCGUACCGCAAACCGACACAGGUAGGCGAGGAGAGAAUCCUAAGGUGAUCGAGAGAACUCUCGUUAAGGAACUCGGCAAAAUGACCCCGUAACUUCGGGAGAAGGGGUGCUUCUUAGGGUGUUAAAGCCCCGAGAAGCCGCAGUGAAUAGGCCCAGGCGACUGUUUAGCAAAAACACAGGUCUCUGCGAAGCCGUAAGGCGAAGUAUAGGGGCUGACGCCUGCCCGGUGCUGGAA
RNAcentral lists this ribosomal RNA (579 nucleotides) under Bacillus sp. 7788. Its description in RNAcentral is "bacterial LSU rRNA". It matches the Rfam family "Bacterial large subunit ribosomal RNA", at positions 1301 to 1874 of the family's 2925-position model. The record is from RNAcentral. Lineage: Bacteria; Bacillati; Bacillota; Bacilli; Caryophanales; Bacillaceae.